Molecule: ribosomal RNA, 253 nt
Filed under: uncultured bacterium
Lineage: Bacteria
Description: partial 16S ribosomal RNA
Rfam family: Bacterial small subunit ribosomal RNA
Source: RNAcentral
UACGUAGGGGGCAAGCGUUGUCCGGAAUCAUUGGGCGUAAAGCGCGUGUAGGCGGCUAGGUAAGUCUGCUCUGAAAGCCCGGGGCUCAACCCCGGGAGGCGGGUGGAUACUGUCUAGCUCGAGUCCGGAAGAGGAGUGUGGAAUUCCUGGUGUAGAGGUGAAAUUCGUAGAUAUUAGGAAGAACACCAGUGGCGAAGGCGGCUCACUGGCCCGGUACUGACGCUCAUGUGCGAAAGCGUGGGGAGCAAACAGG